Molecule: long non-coding RNA, 8478 nt
Organism: Harpia harpyja (harpy eagle)
Lineage: Eukaryota; Metazoa; Chordata; Aves; Accipitriformes; Accipitridae
Exons: 2
Source: RefSeq, a predicted model, not a curated record
GGCCCGGCUCGGCACGGCACCGGGGCGUCCUGGCAGCGCGGGGCUGCCCUGCACCCCCGGGGGAAGGAGCAGCGGGCAGCAACGCGGCAACGGUGUGCGCACACGCACACACACGUAUAGAGAGCUGCAUGUGCGGCGUGGCACGUAUACGCCUCUAUAAGCGUAGACUUGCACGGUCGGACACGCGUAUGGUCGCAGCUGUACGUGCUCGUACAAGGUGACGUGAAUGCAGGACACACAGAAAGGCAAGAGCAGGCACACAUGCAUACAGGCGUUCCUGCGUGCUCCUGUGCUGCACAGAUGAGUGCGAGGGAAAUGUGGGCGCUGUGGAUUCGGAAGACACCUCCCAGGCACGUUCGCCCCGUAUGCACACCUAUGACCAACUUGGGGAUUUCAGAGGUGAGAGGUUUUGCAGCCCUGUGAUAGUUGGAAAUUUGGCAAUGCGCUGGGUACGUUCACCAAAUCUGCUCCGAAUGCAUGCUUCCAACCUGCUGCUACCUUAGCAGCUAAACGUUUGGAAGAAAAAAACGUUAAGUGCCUCUUUAUUGUACAAGUGACAUUUUACAGUCUGCUUAUGCAGCAAAAUUCAGGAGCAGGCCCCGUGAGCGCAUUAGUCCCUGCAAAGGCGAUGCUGGGAACCAUUUGGUAUCUGCUUCCCACCUCCCAACAAGCAGCUAGUCUCCUGCUUUCCAGCUUCUCCACAGUUCAACUCUGAGACGGUCAUGACCCUUAUGCACAGGACAGGGCUUCCUACAAACUCCAGGAGGAGUUAUCUGUAGCUGGGAAAGACAGUCAGCUUCAGCGCGUGAUGUUCAUGAGCAGCAGAAACUUGUUUGCCUUUUCAACCGGUUAGAGUACAUUUAUGUGACACAUCUUUGACUGGCAGCCAUGCCGUAUCGUGCAUCCGUGGUUUUAUGCUUUCGCCUAAACUGCUAACGAGAAACUGGGCAGCUACGGUUGACAUGGCGUGAUCGGCGGGGCAGUGACUGGUGCCCGUCCUUCCUGAACGCGGGCGGCACGCUGCCCUUUGUGCCAGGUUUCUGUAUCCAGAGCCUUCCAAAGGGAAACGUCUGCUCUGAAACAUGCAUUCGUCAGCACAGAAGAACUGUAACCUUUAAACAGACUCAUCCUAACAACGCCAGGAAGGUGUCAUGCUUACUGCAGGAGCAGGCAGAAAAACUGUCAAACAAUAUUUCACCAAGAGCUUCCUAUUGUACGGCAGGUCCUGCAAAACCUUUUCACUUGGUAGACUGAUUUUGUGGCUCCUGCCAGCAUGGAACUGUGCUCGUGCCAGUGCUAUUUAAAUAGAAUAUUUCAUUAAGAGAUCAGCGGUAGGCACAUGGAAAUGACAGCGAUCAUUAAGUCUGCAUUACUAUUGUUUGCAUUAGGGAGCGUGUAGAGGCCCCGGGCAGAGACAGGACUGCACGGUGCGAGAUGCAGCCAGCCCUCCUGCGUGCAGUGCAGUCUGUAAACCAGCUUGCUUUCCAGCGGUCUCUGAAAGAAUACCCUGAGACAAACCAGGCCGAGGUAUCGCUUCCUAGAUGUUCAGAUGCCCCAAUAAUGAACAUGACGGAAGAGAAUAAGGAGAUACUGGAUGAAUUUGCCCUACCCAACGGUGUGCGGUUGAUUUACACCAUUUCUGACCCCCAAGCAGAGGUACUUUUCAUUACACAAAUCCCUGCAGCGUGAUUAGUUUGCCUAAUACUUGCCCUGCUUUUUCUCAGGGCAGAAUACAAAUCCUGGUGCUCCCAUUGGUUGGCAGCAUCAAGGAGAUGGCGAGAUUUGUGUGGCCACUGCAAGAUGAUUUCUCUGUAACUGCAGACGGUUUCACACAUUGCUCCUUGCACUACCAAAGGCAGAGUCCGCUCUCCACAGUACUCUGUUAAAUGGGUCUGAGUGGCCAAAUGUGGUUAGUGAGGAGAAGGGGAGAAGGGGAAAUGAAAGAAGGAAAGAGUCUUGAAAUCAAUAUGAAGCAAAAGAUGGAUGGCAGGAAGGAGAUGGAUACAUGGAGGAGAGAGAAAGAAAGAAUUAUUGAAACACUAAGGAGAAAUGUAAUCGAGAAGAACUUCUCUCCAUGGCACAAAAGAAAGGUGCUCUCAGGAUGGAUAGUGUGGGUAAACAGCUAUAGUGUUGGAUGUCACAUCCGUGUUCAGAUCCAAAUUGUGCCUGUUUUUCAACUUGGGUUAGACAAACCAAGGUAAGAACACACCUUUUAUAGCAUUGCACCUACUAAUAACUCUUUGACUGUUUGGUAAUAAAUACAAUCUGUCCUGCGGUUCACCCCAUCACUUGUCUUGACAUACGCUGUGUGGAAAGGCAGUGAGUCUUCUCCACUUACCAGUCACAGCUCUCAACACCAGGACAAGAGAGUAGCAAUGCAGGUGAGAUUUACAGUGCAAUCAAUGUGAUAUUCAUUUGUUUUCUCAACACAUAUCUUUAUCACACUAGUAAUGCAUAAAUGCUUACUUUAAACUGCAGAGAAACAUGGACAAGUUUUAAGAUCUAAUGCAGCUGAUAGAAUUCAAUUAAAACACAAUUUGGAUCAAGACGGUCUGCGAUACCAGGCACAUGUGAUUAAAAUUCUUAUGAUUGGGAAUUUGCACACCUUCAAAUCCUUAUUUGACAAGGAAAACCGCCAGAAAUAGAUAUUUAAAUCAGCAUAUCUCUGGUUUAUUGAAUUGUUGUUAUACACUCUCUGAGGCUUUAGCUAGCUGGAUACCUCUCAGACUGGCCAAACCAUUUUGAUUUAAGAAGUUUAUUCUUUCGCUCAGGCAAAGUCCCCAUUGGGUUGAAAUAAAUCUGAUCAGGCAAGUGAUUUCUGGCUUUCUGUUCCUGGUACGAGCACAUUUCAUCAAAACUGCAUGUGUUGGGGAGCUGGUGACCCUGGCCAAGACUGGCAACUUCUGCUUGAGAACCUAGACCUUCUUUCUAGCAGCGGUGGAUGGCAGUGGGUGCAGUGAGGUUUCUUAGAGUGACAGCUCUACGGUAGGGGAUAACAUGAAAUGGUUGUGGAUUAGAAAACCUCCCUCUACCCACUAUGGGUUGCCAUUUUUCCCUUAAGUCACACAUCCUGGUUCUGACUGAUCCACUCAGCAGUUCUUGUAUUCCAUUAGAUUUUAAACGAGAUGCAGCCAUUUCAAUAAGUGACAUGCAUGUGUCUAAAUGAACGAAGGAAAUGUUUUCUUAGCCUUUGCUGCAAAGGUUUUCUUGGUCAUCACCGGCAGUCAUGCUGUAAGCACACGCCUGUGUUCACAGGCAGCGAUUGUGCUCCAAGCUGUGCACGCAGCCCUGUCUAGGGCUGCUGCAAGGAAAAUGUUGCAGUCGCCUAAAAUGCACACAGAUUUUCUAUGUCCUGUUCCCUCUUCAAAAUGCUAAAGGUAUCAGCCGGUGUAACUGUGCCAUGCUUGAAUGUGCUUAUGUUUCAACUGGGCUUGAUUUAUAAGUGCUUUUAUUUAUAUCUGCUAGUUUCACACCUACCCUGAGAUGUGAAGGGUUUUUUCUGAAUGCUGCUAAGAAUUGUGCUGGUACCUCUUGAGCGCGGUGUGGUUAAUGCCCUCAUCUGUAGUAUCUGCUUGGGGAGGUAGGAAACCACGCUCAGGAGCUUUGCUGGCCUUCCUUGUUAUUGGCAUGUUUGGUGAAAAAUAUUGCCCGCUGUUGUGGACUGUCUAUGUGUCUAAAAACAAGUAACAUUUACAUCCUGGCAGAAUACUGAACAACCCCCCUCUUUGUGAGCUGCCCAGGUUUUUCUGUUGCUGAGACUGUCACCUACUGGCCAUGGAGCAGCUCACCAGGAUCUCGGGAACAAAAUCAGUCUGAUGAAUUAAAUACUCAGCUUUGCCUUUAGAAAUUACACCACUGAGAUGUUCCUGUUUUAUCUAACGGUAAACAGGGUGGUAAUUUUGUAAAUGGAGAUAGAUCAGGAAUCCCGAAAGCUUCUUCAUUUAUAAAAUGUCCAGAUUUCAUGGAGUUUUAAUGCAAAGGAAACCAGGAUCUCAUCACAGUGGAGAUGUGGGGUAAAAUGCUAGUUCCAGUAAACUUAAUGAAAGCAAAAUAAGCCAUAACCAAUACUCAAGGGAAAAAAAAAAAAAAAAAGGACCAGCUAUUCUGUCUCUGUUGGAUUUUUGUCAUGUUAGACCAUGGAUACAAGACGACCUUAAGAAAGGGCCACACCUUAGUAUUGACCAGCAGAGCUCAACAGAAAUCAAAGGAUCUUUACUGAAGAUCUAUGCUACAGCUUUUACAGGAAAGGAGAAUUGCUCUAAAAAGCUCUUUUAGCCCUGUCCUUGUCCUGCCCUCCCAUCUGUUGUCACUGCUAGCUCAUUUUCUGCCAGUCUCUGGGCCAGAACCUCAACCAGCGUAAACUAGAGUAAGUUUGAAUUCAUAGCUAGAAUAUGGGACUGUGGGGUGGUUUAUUUACCCGUUUUGAGGAGUGCCCCCCCCGUUCCUCCCCAGACCUGAGAGCAGGUUAAUGUACUGCCUGAAAUGCGUUGUUCAGCUGGGAUUUUUUCUGUUUAAGACACAGAAAUAAGUUGCAACGCUGGACAACAGGUGCCAAACUGCAAUACUGCAUCUCUACUGGUUAUUCUAAUGGAGCAUCACUCUCUAUAGCUCUUCCUAAAAUCUGUGGGUUUUUCUUACAUGUAAUUGAGCUGUAUUACUGGCAUUCUGCAGGAUUGCUCAUAGCAAAGGAAAGCUAGUGCCAUAGAGGCUGUUUAAUGACAAGUAUCCUCAGCUCACUUGGUGUUACACAAGGGUAUUGCUGCCUGAAAGCACGUCUAAAGUAAUCCUCAAGCUCACUGCUGUAUGUUGUAGUGAAACUUUAAAGAGGAGAUUUUUUUUUUUUAUGGAUGUUUUUCAUACGCCUCAGUUCAUAUCUGUAAAAAAUAAUUUCAUGUACUUUAGAAAUACUUUUUGACUGUGUAGUCACUACACAUCCUAGCACUGAAUUUACACAAAGUGGCCAUAUUUUUAUUUCUUGUUAGAUUUUUUUGUGAAAUGGAUACAUUAUUUCCCUUUAUUUCCCUUCAUUCUUGUAUUUGGACACUUACAAGCUUUAAUUGUUGUUGGAGAACACUGGGUGCCUGGAUGUCUCUCUUAUGAAAGCAAGCGGCUGGUUAAAAAGAAAACCAGAGAGAUUAGAGUCUGCGUGAAAUUUCACUAAAUUCAGUGAAAAGGGUCAUUUCAAAAAAUUUAGGAUCAGAUUUCAAAUGCAUUUCAUGAAUGGCUUUGGACUGGUGGAUUAAUAUAGGAUGCUGAGUCUCAGUCCCCCCCACUGUACAGGAAGGAUAAUGCUAUUUGCCUCCCCUAUAGGUUACCUCACUACUCACUUCUUGUGCACUGUUGUAAAAGAGCAAAACACUUCAAGGCCUUGGACUUGGAAACCUCUGGCUCGCAGCCAGGUAGACCCUGAGGCCAGCUCUCACAAACAUCAAGGGGGAAAAACCACAGCCUUUCCAACUUCAUUGAGAAUAUGAGUCUUUGCCUGAAAUGCUCUCUUUUCAAAUUUGUGAAUGCAAAACUAAAAAAAAAUCCCUCUGGCUUCCUUCUCUGCUAUCCACCCACACUUCUCAGUAAGUCAUUUCCUUGGAGCUGGUGGGAUCUUUAUUCAGGCAGAAGAUGGCUGGGGAGUGUUGUCUCUCUAAGUACCGUGGUGGCUUGGGAGUGCAGGCUCUCCAGGGCCAUCAUGCAGCCUCUUCAGUCCUGUCUGUCACUUUAUUUAUCACAUGGAAAUAUUCUCUCACCACUGGAGAAAGAUUCCAUUUAAAACUCCUCUUUUACUGGUAAAUUUACUUUGUACCGAGACAAAACAUGACUUAAUAUUGGUUUUGAGGGUAAAUAAAGGGCAACGAAGAUUCUAGCCUAAAAAAUGUAGCCUGUGAAUUUUAUCCCUGCACUGCGCAUUCAUUUUAAUGGUCCUUGCUGUGUGUUUUAUUGAAGGCUGAGUCAUAAGCAGAUCUUACUGCUUUGGAAGGAAGGAAAUGGAGUUUAGGCAAAAACAUUGUGUCUCAAAUGGAUCCAGCAAAGAGAGACUGCUCAAGCUGUGAAAAUGCAAUGAUGUAUCUCAGCAAAAGGGAGAAUUGAAGGUCAAAAAGAAAUUCCUUGUGCUGUGUUAGAGUUUUCAUCACCUGAAGCAUGUCUGGACACAGUGAUAUUUCUAGUGACAGUGACAUCCCAGUGAGAAGAGCAGAUCCUGCUCUUGUCCCUCCCCUCAAAAAACAGUCCUGGAGUUAACAGGACUCCCUCCUGGGUCUCAUAUUUUGAUGUUAAUGAUGAUGAAUGUUUGCUCACCACUUGGGGCUGACACAGUUGUUGUUGGGACUUGGUCAAGGCAAAGCAUUUUUGACUGAGGUUGUUGAGGAAGGAGAUUGAAGGUAUUGUGUUAUGCCAGCACCUCUGCAGGAUGUAGGAUGGUUCCUUUGCAGAUGCCCUUAGGAGUAUUGUCUUUGGCUGGGGAGGAGAGGGGCGAACCACGCAAGCUGAGCUGUGCAGCUUGGAAGAAGGUGCUGCCUGCUGGGCAAAAUCAGCCAUGCCUAGGAAUGUGCAGCAGAGCAUCCACCCUGUCGUUAGAAGUCACCUCCGUCUCACAUCAUGAGUGGGACUGGACCACAGUGUAGUGCAGGAGAAGUCAUGAGAUUCAAAGGGGGAUCUUUCAUGCCCUUUGUCACAAACAGUAUCUUUUUUUCCUGUUUUUUUACCCCAGUUACGUUAGUGUUUCUAAGGCAGGGACUGGAUCAGGUGUUACCUCCAGAAGCAGAGGCAGGCUGCCCUUUCUCUGCUACUGAGCACAUUCAGAAGGAAGAUCUGAGACCUGGACAGAGGAUGAAGACAGGGAGCACAGCCCAGGAGCUGGAACAGCUCGGGCACAGAGAUCAAGAAACUGCAGAGGAGUGGGCGGAAGGCAGCCAGGCUCGGGGCUCCCCAGGGAUCCACUUGGACAGGCACAGCUGGCUGCAGCUCAAAAAGUCACUGACUUGCAGCCAAGCCUUGAAAUAGGGUAGGCAGAGCGCUGCAUGUUCAGUCUCUGAUAGUUUGACUUUGAAUUUGUUUAGAAAGUUAAGUUUCUUUUUUUUUUUUUCAGGUAAAGCCUGGCUGUUCGAGGUCAGAAGCUUUUUGAUCUUCUUCAGGGAGCGCACCAUGUGGGAGAGGUUUAGGCGUACCUAAUUCAAAGCUCUGGACCUUCCACCCCCUUUUCUUUGGUGUAGGAUGCCACUGCUGUCACACUCUGAGAGGCAGUGAAAGACCAGAGCAUUCAUUUGGCAGGAUGUCUUUAUAGGAGCCACUGUCCCGCUGACAAGAGGUGGCCCAAGAGUGCUCCCUCCUGCCUUCUGGGCAGGACAUGGUGGUCCUUCUUCUGCCUCCCCUGGAGUUACGGUAGGGCAGGUUGUCCUCUGCUGCAGCCAGUCAGUAAAGUGAAGGGUCUGAGGCCUGCAAGGAGAUAGCAGCUUCCGAAGGGUCACUCAGUACCACCAGACACGGCCAGACUGGUGAGGCUAUUUAUGAAAUUAUUAUUAGCAAAGCUACCUAUCAAAUACAGCUGUGAAAAUGUGGCCUUUUUGUUUUCCUCCCCCUCCCUUUGGCCAGCUGGUGUUCCUCCUACAUGGUACAGAGGGAUUUUAUUUUGUUAAGGUUCAGGCUCAGGCUGCAAAUCUGGCUGAUAUUCAAAGGGGCUUUGGAGAACAUCUGAAGUUUCUGAGAGUCCUGGCCAUUGAGGGCCACAUUUCUCCAGGCUUCUUCUGGUUUCUACUCUCCCUUGGGUUUUAUAUUGCAGUAGGGAGGAAUAAAAGGCCCUUUCCAUUUUUAGGAUCUAAAAUGAAGGAACUGAACAGGAAGAAAAUGAUAAACUUAGUUUUAGAAAUAUUAGUGGUUGAGUUUCAUGAACUUCUUGGCCUUAAGGAAUGAUACCCAAAUAGGCGUUGCACAUGCAGAAAGCCUCUGUUUUAAAUCAGAUGUGUGCACACCGACUGUCUCUGUAGCAUCCCUGGAAGGGAGGCAUUCGUUGGCCCAUGUACCCCCAAUUCAGACAGCUUUCAGCUGGCAGGCAGGACCGGGAGCUCUGCAGCAGGGCAGGAGUUGGGCUGCCACAAUCCAGUAGAUCAGAAUCUUUAAGUGCGUUUAAGAUAAUCUUGAUUUUGCAAAUAUUUAUACAAGUAGCAUUGUGUUUAGUUAGCAAGCCCCUUAGGUGUCAUGGUACUUCAAGUAUUUUCAAACUCUGACUUUACAUCCUGGUAAACUGAAGACUCCCACUCCUGAUUUUGAGUGUGAGGCCUCCAGCUGAACCUGUACUACAAAUACAGCUCCAGGUGUUGCAUGCAGUUAUGUGCAGGCAUAAUAUUUAUACUUUUCUAAUAGAUUUGUAUACCCAUAUGGAAAAAAACAACAUCUGGGUUUAACCAUUAUUUUGUUUAGGUUUGGGAGAGUAUUUUCGUUUGCCUGUUGUUUGUCAUUGUAACCUCAGAAGAUAAAGGUCUUCAGCCAGCA